CGGGCUGUGGCGCAGCUUGGUUAGCGCGCCUGCUUUGGGAGCAGGAGGCCGUCGGUUCAAAUCCGACCAGCCCGA
Molecule: transfer RNA, 75 nt
Filed under: bacterium
Lineage: Bacteria
Also listed under: 1 other name
Description: tRNA-Pro
Rfam family: tRNA
About the family: Transfer RNA (tRNA) molecules are approximately 80 nucleotides in length.
Source: RNAcentral